GGGUGCAAGCAGAUUCUGGGGGUGCGAAAAACAAAAGACAUACUCAGUGUGGCAUGGAUCUAAGGUGCAUGAUAAAAUGCUCAGAUCUGAACCUUCAGAUCUUAUCAAAUGGUUAUGAUUUUUAAAAAGGGGGAACAGAUCUGAACCUUUCAUUUACACAUGCCAGAUCCAACGGAUGCUGUUUUAAAACGAAGAUAGAAGAUGAACUUAAAUCAGCACAAAUAGUAACAAACAAACAAAAACCAAAGAACUACAACAGCAUAACAAACAAAUAAUAGGAAGAAAACUAAGAAGCAGAGAGAAAAAAAUGCAAUAAAUAAUACAUACUGUUUGGAGAGAAGGAGAAGAAGGUAUGGAUGCGUGGAAAUAGAGGUUGCUGUGUGUGUGUGUGUGGUUCUUUCUAUGUUUUGGUGGUUUUGGUCCUUUCUAAUUUGGUGAGGAGAAGAGUUUUUUGAAAUGGGUUUGAUUUGGUGGAGGCACAAGAAGAAAGAAAGAAAUGAGUUGGUUUGUUAGUGACUGUGUGAGGGUUUCGGGGUCACUUUCUACUCUACUCUUGAUGGUUGCAGAAACAUAUGUUAUAUUGGAGCAUU
Molecule: long non-coding RNA, 590 nt
Filed under: Trifolium pratense (red clover)
Lineage: Eukaryota; Viridiplantae; Streptophyta; Magnoliopsida; Fabales; Fabaceae
Description: long non-coding RNA (TPRA_LNC001168)
Source: RNAcentral